CAACAGGGAUUGCCCUAGUAACGGCGAGUGAAGCGGCAACAGCUCAAAUUUGAAAUCUGGCCCUCGGGUCCGAAUUGUAAUUUGUAGAGGAUGCUUUUGGUGCGGUGCCUUCCGAGUUCCCUGGAACGGGACGCCAGAGAGGGUGAGAGCCCCGUACGGUUGGACACCUACCCUAUAUAUAGCUCCUUCGACGAGUCGAGUAGUUUGGGAAUGCUGCUCUAAAUGGGAGGUAAAUUUCUUCUAAAGCUAAAUACCGGCCAGAGACCGAUAGCGCACAAGUAGAGUGAUCGAAAGAUGAAAAGCACUUUGAAAAGAGGGUUAAAUAGCACGUGAAAUUGUUGAAAGGGAAGCGUUUGUGACCAGACUUUUUCUUAGUGGAUCAUCCGGUGUUCUCACCGGUGCACUUCACUGGGUUUAGGCCAGCAUCGGUUUCCGGAGGGGGACAAAAGCAUGGGGAAUGUGGCUCUUUCGGGAGUGUUAUAGCCCCUAGCAUAAUACCUCUCCUGGGGACCGAGGACCGCGCUUCGGCAAGGAUGCUGGCGUAAUGGUUAUCAACGACCCGUCUUGAAACACGGACCAAGGAGUCGAACAUUUGUGCGAGUGUUUGGGUAUCAAACCCUCACGCGUAAUGAAAGUGAACGGAGGUGAGAGCCCCUCGGGGUGCAUCAUCGACCGAUCCUGAUGUCUUCGGAUGGAUUUGAGUAAGAGCAUAACUGUUCGGACCCGAAAGAUGGUGAACUAUGCGUGGAUAGGGUGAAGCCAGAGGAAACUCUGGUGGAGGCUCGCAGCGGUUCUGACGUGCAAAUCGAUCGUCAAAUCUGCGCAUGGGGGCGAAAGACU
This 840-nucleotide ribosomal RNA is filed under the name Hypoxylon perforatum. RNAcentral describes it as "partial large subunit ribosomal RNA". It matches the Rfam family "Eukaryotic large subunit ribosomal RNA", at positions 66 to 932 of the family's 3401-position model. The record is from RNAcentral. Lineage: Eukaryota; Fungi; Ascomycota; Sordariomycetes; Xylariales; Hypoxylaceae.